This 73-nucleotide transfer RNA is filed under the name candidate division WOR-1 bacterium RIFOXYB2_FULL_48_7. RNAcentral's name for it is "tRNA-Gly". It matches the Rfam family "tRNA". From Rfam's summary of the family: Transfer RNA (tRNA) molecules are approximately 80 nucleotides in length. Their secondary structure includes four short double-helical elements and three loops (D, anti-codon, and T loops). The record is from RNAcentral. RNAcentral also lists the same sequence under 4 other names. Lineage: Bacteria; Bacillati.
GCGGGAGUAGCUCAGUUGGUAGAGCACGACCUUGCCAAGGUCGGGGUCGCGAGUUCGAGCCUCGUCUCCCGCU